UAUAUGCCUUUUAUUUGUUUUGUGAAAUGAUAUUUCAUUGGCAUAACAGGUAGCUAUGAAAUAAUAGUUGUUAGGUUUCUCUGAUGAUUUUUGUGGUGCUAAGAUUCGGAACUGUGUAUUCAUUAUUUGUGCUUUAAUAUUUGUUUCUUGUGCAGGUACAAGGAAUCUUGUUUAUUAUCAGAGUCCUAUAACUAUAGCAUAGUCCCUUGGGGAAAGAAAAAACAAAAUAAAGCUAAUAUUGGGUGAGUUGUCAGCUCUGAAUAUAACUUGGACCUAAUUCCAUUUUCAGGUAACUCAUAUUCAUAGGCUUGAUAUGUCUUUUCCUUUCUUUUUCUGUUAAUGGACAAUAUUCUGGAUCUAACGCAUUUUCAUUUUCAAUUUUUAUCAUAAAUUAAAGUAGUGCUGGCUUUUUUUUUCCUUUUAUAAGAAUGUAGACAGAACUCAUCUACCUAAGCUUUAGUGGGCGAUAUUUGUACUGAUAGAAUAAUUGAAAUGCACAAACACUGAUGGACAAUAGAUUCUGGAUCUAACGCAUUUUCAUUUUCAAUUUUUAUCAUAAAGUAUUUCUUUUUUUUUUGUUUUUGUGUAUAAGAAUAUAGUAGACAGAACUCAUCUACCUAAGCUUUAGUUGGCGAUAUUUGUACUGAUAGAAUAAUUGAAAUGCACAAACAAAACUUAUCUAGACAUCACUUCAUUAAAAAAGAAUAGACCUAAUUUGCAAAUUUCUGAGAUUUAUUCUCCUCUUUCCAGGUAGCUGUGUUCCCACGUUUGCCUUUGAAUGAUAUCCACUAAGAUACAAAUAGCAAGUGGCUGAAUAUAUAUUUUUCCUCUUUCUAGGAAGACCCAAAUUACUUGGUCUUGCAAACUUUUGUAUGCUGCAAACAUUGAUGAGUGAUAUUGAGGUUGCAAAUUGCGAGUUGGACUAAGUUUUGAUGGAUCUAAUUACUCUCUGGUCAGUGGCGUACGCAGAAUUUUUAUAAGCGGUGUUACUAUUUAACAUAUUAAACAAUUGAAUAAAUUGUUGUAAUAUAAUAUAUAAAUUAUUAUUGCUAAUUGAGGGCACAAUUAUUUUUAAAGUGGGAAACAAUUCCUAUUUGUGAAAGGUUUUUAACAAAUUAGGGUCAAGUAAUAAUAGGCCCCGUAAAUAGCAGCCAAGGCCCAAGAGU
This 1166-nucleotide long non-coding RNA is filed under the name Nicotiana benthamiana. RNAcentral describes it as "long non-coding RNA (NBEN_LNC041624)". Lineage: Eukaryota; Viridiplantae; Streptophyta; Magnoliopsida; Solanales; Solanaceae. The record is from RNAcentral.